GACGUAGGGCGCGAGCGUUGUCCGGAUUUAUUGGGCGUAAAGAGCUCGUAGGCGGCUUGUUGCGUCGACUGUGAAAACCUGCGGCUCAACCGUGUGGUCUGCAGUCGAUACGGGCAGGCUGGAGUUCGGUAGGGGAGACUGGAAUUUACGGUGUAGCAGUGAAAUGCGUAGAGAUCGUAAGGAAGACCAGUGGCGAAGGCGGGUCUCUGGACAGUUCCUGACACUGAGGCACGAAGGCCAGGGGAGCAAACGGG
Molecule: ribosomal RNA, 254 nt
Filed under: uncultured bacterium
Lineage: Bacteria
Description: partial 16S ribosomal RNA
Rfam family: Bacterial small subunit ribosomal RNA
Source: RNAcentral